Molecule: long non-coding RNA, 908 nt
Organism: Neopsephotus bourkii (Bourke's parrot)
Lineage: Eukaryota; Metazoa; Chordata; Aves; Psittaciformes; Psittacidae
Exons: 3
Source: RefSeq, a predicted model, not a curated record
UAUUAGGAGGAAAAAAAAUUCACCAUAUGCAUAGUCAAAUGCUGAAACAUGUGCCCAGAGAGGCUGUGGAAUCUACAUCCUUGGUGUUUCAGUCUCAGAAGUAUAUAUCCUAAGCAGGGGCUGGACCUGAUGACUUCCAACCUGAAUAACCUGAAUUAUUCUACAGUGCUACAGUGUGGAGGAAAAUCUGAAAAUACACAACUUGCAUAUUUUAAAACUUCUGAAGAAACAUACAAGUCUCUCACAGACAAGGUUCCUAAACCUCCAUCCUACCUCCCUCACACUUGUAAAAGAGCCCUGCUGUGGGCACUAAGCAGAAAAAGCGGAGGAAGAGGCUUUUCAACCAAAGAUAAACGAAGACAUCACCCACCCUACGCCUUUGCUUUCGCCGGAAGGCUGUGAGAGGGAGACACUGUCUCCUAAAGAAAGGAGCUGAUCCUUCCUCCCGUUGCUUGCGGGGGGCACCCCUGUGAGCACACCACGACCGGCAGACACACCGGCACCCUCGCAGUCAACAGUUCACAAAGUGAGAAAUUCCACUCUUUCAGGAGGUUUUUCAGACUGAGCUGUCUAUGUAUUGACUCAUUUAUUGAGAGAGAGUGUUCUCUGUUUUAGCAAUGAAAGAGGUUCAGAAGAGUUAUAAGUACACAUUGUAAGUCUUCGGAGUUUGAAAAACCACCUCUUCAUCUGCUUUCCACCUGGCAAGACUUGCAUAGUAAGUAAAUGGCUUCAGUUAUGCUGUUUGGAAUUAAGAUAGAUUAAUUUUGCCAAUAAAUUGCAGUAAUUGCUAGAUCCUUUUGUGUUCUUUAUGAAUCCUAUGCAAUUUAUGGCACUGUGUGGUGAUGUUUGAAAACAAAUUAAAUUCCACAGGAAGGCAUUCUUAAAGAGGUAAGAUUUAUGCUUUCCUC